GCAGCCCCCUGUCGGGCUGCCGCCCCCUGCGGCUCUGCGCCCUGGACGGGGAGCACUGACUUGGGGCCGCGCUACUCCAGCUGGUGGUGUGACCCUGCACAGGUCCCCCCCAGCCGAGCCCCAAUAAAUGCACCAGCACGCGGCGGACAGCUCCUGACUGGGCCAGGCAGGAACGGGUGGGAGGAGGAGGGGAGGACUCGGGCAGGCGGGGCCGCCAGGGGGGCUCCCUUUGCACCCCAGAGAAACCCCCCGCGAUGCAGCCUGAGCUCCCCAGCGGUCGGCGGAGGCUGGGGUGGGGACCCGAGCCGGCAGGGCCAGGACGUGCAGAGGAGCCUGCGCCCGGAGCUGCGCCCCCCGCGCCUGCCCCUCCUGCGCGCCCUUCCUUCCUGGCCUUCCCUGCCGCUCGUGCUGGGGGUCCACUUCACCCAGCCGGGCCCUGCAUCGCGGACUCGGGGCAGCAGCUCAGCGGCGCAGCCGGAGGGCGAGAGGGGAAGGGGCGCGCGGGCACUAGGCGAGAGCGGGCGCUUCCUGCUCGGCGCGCCCCGCGGCGGCCUGGAGGGGGCGCCGGCCGCCUGUUGCGUCCCAGCGCUGACCCGGAGACGUUUGCUUUUCGGUUCCGGGACCUGGCGCUGCCGGAGCGGUGAGGACGCAGCUCUGCACCAUGAGCUCCGCAGAGCAGCCCCCGCAGCUCUGGGAUGUCUCCGAUCGCUUGGAGAGAAUUCUGGCGUCCUGGCCUUCAGUACCCAAACACCGAAUUCUCUCCGCUGCCACAACAGUGUCCCUAAAUGUACAAUAUUAUUAAUUUUUAAAUGGUUUGUUUUUCCUAUAACGCUAACAUAGUUCAAAAAAAUGUUGAAAAUUUUACAAAUACAGAUAUUACAACUCGGAACAUUGUUUUAAUUUUAACUAUGUUAUUUACUCACAAAACCAAAAUUUAUUAUGGGUUUUACUUCCCUGGCUUUAAUCGAGGCAAGC
This 975-nucleotide long non-coding RNA is filed under the name Dasypus novemcinctus (nine-banded armadillo). Its description in RNAcentral is "lncRNA (ENSDNOG00000052003.1)". Lineage: Eukaryota; Metazoa; Chordata; Mammalia; Cingulata; Dasypodidae. The record is from RNAcentral.